AACCUGGUUGAUCCUGCCAGUAGUCAUAUGCUUGUCUCAAAGACUAAGCCAUGCAUGUCUAAGUAUAAACGCUUCUAUACUGUGAAACUGCGAAUGGCUCAUUAAAUCAGUUAUAGUUUAUUUGAUGGUUUCUUACUACUUGGAUAACCGUGGUAAUUCUAGAGCUAAUACAUGCACAAAGUCCCGACUCUUCGGAAGGGAUGUAUUUAUUAGAUCCAAAACCAAUGCGAGUCUCUCGGGGCUCGGUUUCUUGGUGAUUCAUGAUAACUGCUCGAACCGUAUGGCCCUUGCGCCGACGGUGCUUCAUUCAAAUUUCUGCCCUAUCAACUUUCGAUGGUACGGUAGUGGCCUACCAUGGUUGCAACGGGUGACGGAGAAUUAGGGUUCGAUUCCGGAGAGGGAGCCUGAGAAACGGCUACCACAUCCAAGGAAGGCAGCAGGCGCGCAAAUUACCCAAUCCCGACUCGGGGAGGUAGUGACAAUAAAUAACAAUGCCGGGCUAUUGUAGUCUGGCAAUUGGAAUGAGUACAAUCUAAAUCCCUUAACGAGGAACAAUUGGAGGGCAAGUCUGGUGCCAGCAGCCGCGGUAAUUCCAGCUCCAAUAGCGUAUAUUAAAGUUGUUGCAGUUAAAAAGCUCGUAGUUGGAUUUCGGGGUGGCCUGCCUGGUCCACCGCAAGGUGAGUACUGGUCAGCCGCCCUUCCUCUCGAAAGCCCCGACUGCUCUUCACUGCAGUGGUCGGGUGGUUCGGGACGUUUACUUUGAAAAAAUUAGAGUGUUCAAGGCAGGCUAUCGCCUGAAUACAUUAGCAUGGAAUAAUGGAAGAAGGACCUCGGUCCCUAUUUUGUUGGUUUCUAGGCCCGAAGUAAUGAUAUAAGACGGGACAGUUGGGGCGCUUUCGUAAUUUAAUUGUCA
This 913-nucleotide ribosomal RNA is filed under the name Halichondria panicea. RNAcentral's name for it is "SSU rRNA". It matches the Rfam family "Eukaryotic small subunit ribosomal RNA", at positions 1 to 907 of the family's 1831-position model. The record is from RNAcentral. Lineage: Eukaryota; Metazoa; Porifera; Demospongiae; Suberitida; Halichondriidae.